AAUGCAGACCGUCUUAUCGCCCCGGUAACAUCGGGGAGGAAAGUCCGGGCAGCAUAGAGCACCGUACUUCCUAACAGGAAGGACCCUGAUUCAGUCGGGGGACAGCCAGUGCCACAGAAAAUAUACCGCCCCGAUUUGAUCGGGGUAAGGGUGAAAAGGUGAGGUAAGAGCUCACCGCCC
Molecule: RNase P RNA, 180 nt
Filed under: Cyclobacteriaceae bacterium
Lineage: Bacteria; Pseudomonadati; Bacteroidota; Cytophagia; Cytophagales; Cyclobacteriaceae
Description: partial RNase P RNA component class A
Rfam family: Bacterial RNase P class A
About the family: Ribonuclease P (RNase P) is a ubiquitous endoribonuclease, found in archaea, bacteria and eukarya as well as chloroplasts and mitochondria.
Source: RNAcentral